RNAcentral lists this ribosomal RNA (482 nucleotides) under uncultured bacterium. Its description in RNAcentral is "partial 16S ribosomal RNA". It matches the Rfam family "Bacterial small subunit ribosomal RNA", at positions 30 to 507 of the family's 1533-position model. The record is from RNAcentral.
AUUGAACGCUGGCGGCAUGCUUUACACAUGCAAGUCGAACGGUAACAGGCCGCAAGGUGCUGACGAGUGGCGAACGGGUGAGUAAUGCAUCGGAACGUGCCCAGUCGUGGGGGAUAACUACUCGAAAGAGUAGCUAAUACCGCAUACGAUCUAUGGAUGAAAGCGGGGGACCGUAAGGCCUCGCGCGAUUGGAGCGGCCGAUGUCAGAUUAGGUAGUUGGUGGGGUAAAGGCUCACCAAGCCAAAGAUCUGUAGCUGGUCUGAGAGGACGACCAGCCACACUGGGAGUGAGACACGGCCCAGACUCCUACGGGAGGCAGCAGUGGGGAAUUUUGGACAAUGGGCGCAAGCCUGAUCCAGCAAUGCCGCGUGCAGGAAGAAGGCCUUCGGGUUGUAAACUGCUUUUGUACGGAACGAAACGGCUCUGGUUAAUACCCGGGGCUAAUGACGGUACCGUAAGAAUAAGCACCGGCUAACUACGUG